CCACCCAAAUCCCCAUCAACCCACCCACCCACCUUCUGGUCAGAUCCACUGAGGCCGGAUGGGCCCAUUCCCCCCAUUCCCCCUCGCCACCAGCCCGUCAUCUCUGGGAUCCAGGGGCCCCCCGCGCCCUGGGACCCCCCCCCAGGACCCCCUCCCCACCCUCCCCACCCGCGCCUACCUUCUCCGCCUCGCCGUCCUCUCCCGAGCUCUCCGCACAGUGCGCCGCGCCCAGGAGGCGCUCAGUAUAUCCCUCCCCGUGCCCUGCACCCCAAAGCCCUCUGGGGGGGGGGGGUCCCCCCGCACGUGCCUCCUCCUCCCGGACGCCCUCCGGGACCCCUGGGGGUGGCCAGAGCCCCGGCACUCCUCCCUCCUCCUCUCCUUUCCCCGCACGCCCCCCGCUCCCCCGAGGUGGGGAGCUCCCUCGUCCCUUGUCCCUUGGGGGGAUCCCCACCUUUGUCCCCGGGGUGCGGGGCGGCUCCUUCCCUCCUCCAGCCCCGCACUGUGGGGCUCCCGGUGAGGACCUGCGGCAACCAGCGCCGUUUGGUGCGUGGGGCUGCGGACUCUGGCUCUCUCUCUCUCUCCCUCUCCCUCUCUCUCUCUCUCUGUCCCUGUGUGUGUCUGUGUGUGUGUGUCUGUGUCUCCCAGACCGGACCACCCCCUCCCCAGCCCCCCCAGCAGCUGCGUCACUCCGGCUGGCACUCCGCCCCCUCUCCUCCAGCCCCCACAUUCCUCCCCUUCCCCCCCACUGUCCUCCCCCUCUCCUCCCUCCCCUGCACCCCCUUGUCCCCUUCCCCUCUCUCCCCACAGCCCUCCCCCCUCCCCUUCCCUGUCUCCCCAAUCUCCUCUCCCCCUUUCCCUCUGCCCCUUACACCCCCGUCCCCUUCCCUGUCUCCCCAAUCUCCUCUCCCCCUUUCCCUCUGCACCCUCCACCCCCGUCACCUUCCCUGUCUCCCCAUCUCCUCUCCCCCUUUCCCUCGACCCCUUCUCCCCAUUCCCCUUUCCCUUAUCUCCCUUCCCUGUCCCUCCAUCUCUUCUCUCCCUUUCCCUCUGCCCCCUCCACCCCUUCCCCCGUUCCCCUUUCCCUUCUCCCCAUCUGCUCGCCCCCUUUCCCUCUGCCCCUCGACCCCUUCUCUCCAUUCCCCUUCUCCCGCUUCCCUGUCUCCCCAUCUCCUCUCCCCCUUUCCCUCUUCCCCCUCGACCCUCUCUCCCCAUUCCCCUUUUCCUUGUCCCCCUUCCCUGUCUCCCAUCUCCUCUCCCCCUUUUCUUCUUCCCCCUCAACCCCCUCUCUCCAUUCCCCUUUCCCUUCUCUCCCUUCCCUGUCUCCCCAUCUCCUCACCCCCUUUCCCUCUGCCCCCUCCACCCCCUCUCCCCAUUCCCUUUUCCCUUCACCCCCUUCCCAGUCUCUCCAACUCCUCUUCCCCUUUUCCUCGACCCCUUCUCCCCAUUCCCCCUUCCCUCCACCCCCCUCCCUUUUAUCUCUCCCUUCUUCCUCCCCACUCCCACCCUCUUAGGCCAGCUAGGGAGUGA
Molecule: long non-coding RNA, 1527 nt
Filed under: Ornithorhynchus anatinus (platypus)
Lineage: Eukaryota; Metazoa; Chordata; Mammalia; Monotremata; Ornithorhynchidae
Description: lncRNA (ENSOANG00000041991.1)
Source: RNAcentral